Molecule: ribosomal RNA, 504 nt
Filed under: uncultured soil bacterium
Lineage: Bacteria
Description: bacterial SSU rRNA
Rfam family: Bacterial small subunit ribosomal RNA
Source: RNAcentral
AGAUUGAACGCUGGCGGCAUGCCUUACACAUGCAAGUCGAACGGCAGCACGGGAGCAAUCCUGGUGGCGAGUGGCGAACGGGUGAGUAAUAUAUCGGAACGUGCCCAGUCGUGGGGGGAUAACGUAGAGAAAUUUACGCUAAUACCGCAUACGAUCCAAGGAUGAAAGCGGGGGACCGUAAGGCCUCGCGCGACUGGGAGCGGCUGAUAUCAGAUUAGCUUGUUGGUGAGGUAAAAGCUCACCAAGGCGACGAUCUGUAGCUGGUUUGAGAGAACGACCAGCCACACUGGGACUGAGACACGGCCCAGACUCCUACGGGAGGCAGCAGUGGGGAAUUUUGGACAAUGGGCGAAAGCCUGAUCCAGCAAUGCCGCGUGCAGGAAGAAGGCCUUCGGUUGUAAACUGCUUUGUACGGUAGACGGAAAAGUCGUAGCCCUAAGUACGGACGGACCCAUCGACGUACGUAAGAAUAAGACACCGCUAACUACGAGUCCAGCAGCCGUA